UAAAACAGUUCGAUAUGUUUUUAUGAUAUCAACAAUUUGGUUAAUUUCAAGGAAUAUAAUAUAAAAGAAGAAAAUUUAAGAAUUUAAAAUUAUGAAUAUUGGAAUUUUUCGUGGUAAAAAGUUUUUCAUUGUGAAAUAAGUAUAUAAAAAAUUAAUGUAUGUUGUUAGGGUAAUCUUUUCUCAUAGAAAAUUGCGAUACGAAAUUUGUUCAAAGUGACUCAUCGAUUUUUGUUUUCCUUGUGUACGAACAUUUUCGAUAGCAACGGAAAAAUGCAAAAGUUCUUACCGAUUGUUUUUGGUUUGUACAUAUAUUCACACGAACAUCAUUGGCAGUCAUCAAAAAAAAAAAAAAAAAAAAAAAAAAAAAAAUUUUUAGUUCAUUUUUUCUUUCUCAAUAUCACAAGCGAUAUAUAAUUAUUAUAUUAAUUAUUUCUUAAACAUCUCACUCCAUAUCUUUAUAGAGUUAUUAUUAAUUACAGUUAAAAUGAUGGCUUUUACAGAAUAUUUGGAAAAUUUGAAUACUGAUAUUUGAAAUUUGAAAAAAAAGAAAUAAAAAUUUUAUUACCACUUCGUGUAUAAAAAUUAUUUGUAGGAAAUUGUACAUCACAUAUUAACAACUCGAAGGAAUACGCUUUAAUUUCAUUGGUAUAUCAGCCAUGUCUACAUGGAUAUCCGCAGACGAACGUAUGUUAAAAAUAAUAAGGAAGAUAGUACCAAAUUUGACCAAUACUAAAUAUAAAGGUCAAGAUGGAAGAAUAGGAAUAUUUGGUGGUAGCUCAGAUUAUACUGGAGCACCAUAUUUCACGGCAAUGAGUGCUCUUAGAACUGGCGCAGAUUUAGUGCAUAUAUUUUGUGUAAAAGAUGCUAGUACACCUAUUAAAUCUUUUAGCCCAGAACCAAUUGUACAUCCGGUUUUGGAUCAAUACGAUGCUAUGAAACAUAUAAAACCUUGGUUGGAUCGUUUGCAUAUUAUUAUCAUUGGGCCAGGACUUGGAAGAGAUGAUAAGAUUCUUAAAGUCAUAGUUGAAUUGAUUUCUAUCUGCCGUGAAUUAAAAAAACCAUUGAUAAUAGACGCGGAUGGAUUAUUCUUAAUAUUUCAAAAACCUGACAUAAUUAAGGAUUAUCCAGAUCUAAUACUUACACCUAAUGCUAUGGAAUUUAGUCGAUUAGCUAAGUCUAUAUUAAAAAAAUCGAUUCAACCUUCCCCAAUGGUUAAGCCUGCGGAUGUAAAAGAAUUGGCGGAUACUCUUGGAAAGAAUGUUGUCAUUUUACAUAAAGGAGCAAAAGAUAUUAUAGCGGAUGGACAUGAAGGCACUGAAACUAUAUCAUGUGGUAUGGCUGGUUCCGGACGACGAUGCGGUGGUCAAGGAGAUCUUUUAGUUGGAUCCGUAGCUGUUUUUUGGUGGUGGGCCAUUUGUGGUGUAACUUGUGAUUCCACUAUAUCACCUUCGGUAUUAGCAUGUUACGCAGGAUCAAGAUUAAUUAGAGAAUGUAAUUCAGCUGCGUAUAAAAUUAAACAAAGAGCCACUUUGACAAGUGAUAUGUUGGAACAAAUACAAAAUGUUUUUGCUAGAAUUUUUGAAACUCAUGGCAACAAGUGAGCUAUAAGUUUGAAUCGUAAACUCAUUUAUAAAAUAAUAAUUGAUAAUAUAUUUCUUUUAUAGGGGGUUAUCUGUGUGUGCGUGUGUGUGCGUGUGUGUAUAUAUAUGUAUAUUUACAGGCAAUUUUUUUAUAAUUGCAAAUAUAUUUCUUAGUAUAAACAAUUAUUUAAUGAAUUUUUUUUUUAAAUAUAUUUCUUAACAAGAAAAGAGUAUACAUGUAUAUAUGUAAUAUCCCAUCAAAAUUUUCUUAAUAUUCGUUUUAGAACUUCGUCAUUCAAUGGGAGAAAUCGAUUAUUGCAAAAUGUUGAUAAUUAAAAACAUUGGAUCAUGUUUAAAUGAAAUUUUUAGAAUACACGAGAUAUAGUAUACUAAAAAAUAUUAAUAAAUAUAAUGUUAUUUUAUGACAAAUUAGAUUAUAUGCAUGCAUUCAGCAUUGUUAAUAUCUUAGAUAUGGAAAAGUUAUAAAUAAUAAGACUGUCAAUAAAAUAUUUUGUACAUUUUAUACUCUAAGAGUAUUUAAGGAACGAAAUAAGAUCAGUACAUUGAUUUUGCAUGAUCAUACAAGAACUAUAGAAAUUUAAUGGUCACUCGUACAUAAAUAUUAAGAAGAGAAAAAUUUGUCAUACAACAACAUUUAUGUGAUUUAUCACAAAAAGUACAUAUCUAAUAUCAUUUUUAAGAAUGAUGCUGUAGAUUUCAGCCAUGGUAAGCCAAUUAAUUAAGUACAAAUAUAUUGCAUGGUACUGCAAAUUUUUUAUCUGCUACUUAUAACCGAUAUUGUAAUCGAUUACUUUUCUAUUAUAAUUAAUAAUUUCAUUAUUUAACAGAUAUUUUAAAAAAUGUACAUUGAUCUCCUUCCAAAAGUUCACUCUCUUUUGUGCGUAAGAUUAAUAAUAAUAAUAAUAAUAAUAAUAAUAAUAAUAAUAAUAAUAAUAAUGAGUACGUAUGAUAUAUAAAAAGGAGAAAAGGUAAAAAGAGAUGUGCAACUUGCACAUCGUUAAAAGAGAGAUUUGGCAUUAAUAUCUUAAAAAAUACUGCCUAUUUAUGUCAAGUAUGAUGUCCGCUAAAAUUUCUUUUUCGAACAUCAUUCAAUUUAAGCCAUUAAUAAUACUAAUAUCAAUAACCUAAUUUAUCAUUUAUAGACUACGAAUAAAAUGUCAGUACCGAAAUAUGAUUUCCCCUUAUUAAAAGAG
RNA transcript from Vespa crabro (European hornet), 2794 nucleotides. It is a transcript of the gene named ATP-dependent (S)-NAD(P)H-hydrate dehydratase, with no coding region annotated. The transcript is spliced from 3 exons. Lineage: Eukaryota; Metazoa; Arthropoda; Insecta; Hymenoptera; Vespidae. The record is from RefSeq and is a predicted model, not a curated record.